GGGUUACCGGUCGUCUUAUUCUUUGCGCCUCCUCUUCUUCUGCUUCUUCUUCUUCGUCUGUUGAAUAAGCAAAAGUUGCGGCCGACCUGCCCCCACGAGGGCUCCUCUAUUGGCAGUCCCUCCGCUGUUUUCUUCUCCUCCUUCUUUUUCUUUCUCUUCUCGGGGCGGAGACGACUCAGAGAAGGAAAGGGAUCUAUGUCUUCCGCCGCCACUCCACCUGCCCAAGCCACCGACGACGGCGGCGCAGUUCCACUUCCUCCUCCGCCUCCUGCACCACCGAACUAUUGGUGCCACGAGUGCGACAUGAGCGUCGCCCUACUUUCUUAUACUUCUUCUUCCUCCUCCGCCGCCCUUUUCUGCCCCAACUGCCAUGGCGACUUCCUUGAAGUGAUGGACCACCACCACAACAGCCACAGCCAAAACCCUUCCCCCCUUCCUUGCCCUCCUCCUCCGCCUGGCCCCCCAUCCCUGUCCCUUACCCUCUCUGACACCGAUUCAGAUGACAUCGAUGAGGCCGACGCCGACGACCGCCGCCUCGCCUCUGCUGCCUCCGCCCAGUCCUACCUCCGCCGCAUAAUGGAUCACCUUGCCGCGGCCGAUGACCCCCCGCCACCGAUCCCAGCCACCCGCCGUGGCCCUUCUCCAGCCCCGGCCGCCUCCAUCUACGCCCUCCCCACCGUCCGCAUCUCCGAACCCGCCUCCUCCCUCCCAGCGUGCGCCAUCUGCAAGGACGAGUUCCCCCUUGAUUCCACUGCCCGACGGCUUCCCUGCUCCCACCUCUACCACUCCGACUGCAUCGUCCCUUGGCUCUCCCUCCAUAACUCCUGCCCUGUCUGCCGCUCCCGUCUUCCCUCUUCAUCGUCCUCAUCGGACGGGUCCAACGCCCUGAAUCGCCCGACCCAGUUCUCAGCCCAGCUCGAACGCUUGUUGGAGGAGGAUGAUAGCCCGGCUUUGACACUUUUGCGGCAAAUUGGGAGACGGUGGCACAUGGCGGCUUCAGAUCAGCCUUCGGCCUUGGAGACAUCGCCGACACAGAUGGCGCAGCUGGGGGCUGGACCUGCUAACAGUGGGGAGACUGUGUCGUCGGAGUGGCCUGUGGAACUCAGUGAAGCGUCUGUUGGAGGAAGGGUGGAUGAUGAAGGGGACACGAUGAUUUCUGCGAGUAGGGAGAACUACUUUUUUGAUUGACUCAUUGUGGAUUGGCUUCUGCUACUAAGUUCGAAAAUUGAGGUUGUCCACAUUGGUGGUGCUGAGCAGAUGAAUUCUCCAUUAUCCUAUAAGUAGUGCAUUUUUAUGGGGUGUCCUUCUUCAACAACUCCGGAGAGUUACCAUAAGAUCAAAUAUACUGCACUUUUUAUGUACAUAUGAACUGAUUAGUUGUAGCUGUUAGAAAAGUCAGCAUCGACCAACUAUAUCUUACCGUAAUGGUUGUAUAAUUAUGAUUGUUCUGCGUGAUGUUCUUAGCGCAAACAAAAGACCGAUGACAAUGAUUGCCCUGAUCAUUUGUAGUUUUGUACAAUUCUUGGACCUAAUGUUUUAAUCGACAGUGUACAGGUUAUGUUUUUCUCCUC
Musa acuminata subsp. malaccensis (wild Malaysian banana) is the source of this 1571-nucleotide RNA transcript. It is a transcript of the gene named E3 ubiquitin-protein ligase RDUF2, with no coding region annotated. Lineage: Eukaryota; Viridiplantae; Streptophyta; Magnoliopsida; Zingiberales; Musaceae. The record is from RefSeq and is a predicted model, not a curated record.